RNAcentral lists this ribosomal RNA (244 nucleotides) under uncultured Actinomycetales bacterium. Its description in RNAcentral is "partial 16S ribosomal RNA". It matches the Rfam family "Bacterial small subunit ribosomal RNA", at positions 89 to 334 of the family's 1533-position model. Lineage: Bacteria; Bacillati; Actinomycetota; Actinomycetes; Actinomycetales. The record is from RNAcentral.
GCUCGAGUGGCGAACGGGUGAGUAACACGUGAGUAACCUGCCCUUGACUUCGGGAUAACUUCAGGAAACUGGGGCUAAUACCGGAUAGGAGCUCCUGCUGCAUGGUGGGGGUUGGAAAGUUUCGGCGGUUGGGGAUGGACUCGCGGCUUAUCAGCUUGUUGGUGGGGUAGUGGCUUACCAAGGCUUUGACGGGUAGCCGGCCUGAGAGGGUGACCGGCCACAUUGGGACUGAGAUACGGCCCAG